UACGUAGGGUGCAAGCGUUGUCCGGAAUUAUUGGGCGUAAAGAGCUCGUAGGCGGUUUGUCGCGUCUGCUGUGAAAACCCGAGGCUCAACCUCGGGCCUGCAGUGGGUACGGGCAGACUAGAGUGCGGUAGGGGAGAUUGGAAUUCCUGGUGUAGCGGUGGAAUGCGCAGAUAUCGGGAGGAACACCAGUGGCGAAGGCGGCUUCCUGGACCGGUUCUGACACUGAGGAGCGAAAGCGUGGGGAGCGAUCCGG
This 253-nucleotide ribosomal RNA is filed under the name uncultured bacterium. RNAcentral's name for it is "partial 16S ribosomal RNA". It matches the Rfam family "Bacterial small subunit ribosomal RNA", at positions 524 to 776 of the family's 1533-position model. The record is from RNAcentral.